GAGUUUGAUCGUGGCUCAGGAUGAACGCUAGCGGCAGGCUUAAUACAUGCAAGUCGAGGGGCAGCAGGAUGGUAGCAAUACCAUUGCUGGCGACCGGCAAACGGGUGCGGAACACGUACGCAACCUACCCAAAACUGGGGAAUAGCCCGGGGAAACCCGGAUUAAUACCUCGUAACAUAACGAAGUGGCAUCACUUUAUUAUUAUAGAUUUAUUGGUUUUGGAUGGGCGUGCGCCUGAUUAGGUAGUUGGCGGGGUAACGGCCCACCAAGCCUGCGAUCAGUAACUGGUGUGAGAGCACGACCAGUCACACGGGCACUGAGACACGGGCCCGACUCCUACGGGAGGCAGCAGUAAGGAAUAUUGGUCAAUGGACGCAAGUCUGAACCAGCCAUGCCGCGUGAAGGAUGAAGGUCCUCUGGAUUGUAAACUUCUUUUAUAGGGGAAGAAAUCUCUUGAUUCUUCGAGAGUUGACGGUACCCUAGGAAUAAGCACCGGCUAACUCCGUGCCAGCCGCCGCGGUAAUACCUGGACU
This 533-nucleotide ribosomal RNA is filed under the name uncultured Sphingobacterium sp. RNAcentral's name for it is "bacterial SSU rRNA". It matches the Rfam family "Bacterial small subunit ribosomal RNA", at positions 9 to 533 of the family's 1533-position model. Lineage: Bacteria; Pseudomonadati; Bacteroidota; Sphingobacteriia; Sphingobacteriales; Sphingobacteriaceae. The record is from RNAcentral.